CUGUAUCCAAGAUGCUGAAGUACAUCGACCUAAACUAGUUUUUAGCAUGGUUAAUGUACCGUGGGUGACCACCGGGUAAAUAAAGAAAUUUGUUUGCCUCCCGACUUGGAAAGGCUGUGAUGUUGCAAGAUA
Molecule: non-coding RNA, 132 nt
Filed under: Pseudoalteromonas lipolytica
Lineage: Bacteria; Pseudomonadati; Pseudomonadota; Gammaproteobacteria; Alteromonadales; Pseudoalteromonadaceae
Description: MoCo sequence
Rfam family: Molybdenum/Tungsten riboswitch aptamer (Moco RNA motif)
Source: RNAcentral